ACGGCAAAUCGGCUCAUCGCGUGACGCCUUUGGCGUUAUGAGGAAAGUCCGGACAGCAGAGGGCAGCCUGCUUCCUAACGGGAAGGAUUCCGAGCAAUCGGAAGACAGCAAGUGCAGCAGAAAGUAAACCGCCGCGCCGCAGUGGCGCGGUAAGGGUGAAAAGGUGGGGUAAGAGCCCACCGGUGUGCAUGGUAACAUGCGCAGCCAGGUAAACCUCAGGUGCUGAAAGGCCAUGUAAACCGCGGAUUGAAGGUAGCCCGCCUGAUCGCGGAGGGUAGGCUGAUAGAGCGUUUCGGUGACGGAACGUCGAGAUAAAUGAUGAGCAUUGAAACAGAAUCCGGCUUAUGAAUUUGCAAUUUUG
This 361-nucleotide RNase P RNA is filed under the name Flavobacteriales bacterium. Its description in RNAcentral is "RNase P RNA component class A". It matches the Rfam family "Bacterial RNase P class A". Rfam says of the family: Ribonuclease P (RNase P) is a ubiquitous endoribonuclease, found in archaea, bacteria and eukarya as well as chloroplasts and mitochondria. Its best characterised activity is the generation of mature 5'-ends of tRNAs by cleaving the 5'-leader elements of precursor-tRNAs. Cellular RNase Ps are ribonucleoproteins. Lineage: Bacteria; Pseudomonadati; Bacteroidota; Flavobacteriia; Flavobacteriales. The record is from RNAcentral.